This 602-nucleotide ribosomal RNA is filed under the name Diaporthe sp. SAB-2009a. RNAcentral describes it as "eukaryotic LSU rRNA". The stretch from base 230 to 383 matches the Rfam family "5.8S ribosomal RNA". The record is from RNAcentral. Lineage: Eukaryota; Fungi; Ascomycota; Sordariomycetes; Diaporthales; Diaporthaceae.
GGAAGUAAAAGUCGUAACAAGGUCUCCGUUGGUGAACCAGCGGAGGGAUCAUUGCUGGAACGCGCCCCGGCGCACCCAGAAACCCUUUGUGAACUUAUACCUUAUUGUUGCCUCGGCGAAGGCCGGCCUCUCUUCUGAGGCCCCCCGGAGACGGGGAGCAGCCCGCCGGCGGCCAACCAAACUCUUGUUUCUUAGUGAAUCUCUGAGUAAAAAAACAUAAAUGAAUCAAAACUUUCAACAACGGAUCUCUUGGUUCUGGCAUCGAUGAAGAACGCAGCGAAAUGCGAUAAGUAAUGUGAAUUGCAGAAUUCAGUGAAUCAUCGAAUCUUUGAACGCACAUUGCGCCCUCUGGUAUUCCGGAGGGCAUGCCUGUUCGAGCGUCAUUUCAACCCUCAAGCCUGGCUUGGUGUUGGGGCACUGCCUGUAAAAGGGCAGGCCCUGAAAUCUAGUGGCGAGCUCGCUAGGACCCCGAGCGUAGUAGUUAUAUCUCGUUCUGGAAGGCCCUGGCGGUGCCCUGCCGUUAAACCCCCAACUUCUGAAAUUUUGACCUCGGAUCAGGUAGGAAUACCCGCUGAACUUAAGCAUAUCAAUAAGCGGAGGAA